Molecule: non-coding RNA, 69 nt
Organism: Podarcis lilfordi (Lilford's wall lizard)
Lineage: Eukaryota; Metazoa; Chordata; Lepidosauria; Squamata; Lacertidae
Source: the annotation of a GenBank genome assembly
GCUGUAACUCAGAGGUAGAGCUUUGGCUUUGCAUGCCUAAGGCCCCAGAUUCUACCUCUGGUAUCUCCA